Molecule: small nuclear RNA, 148 nt
Organism: Hyaena hyaena (striped hyena)
Lineage: Eukaryota; Metazoa; Chordata; Mammalia; Carnivora; Hyaenidae
Product: U4 spliceosomal RNA
Exons: 1
Source: RefSeq, a predicted model, not a curated record
AGCUUUGCGCAGUGGCAGUAUCAUAGCCAAUGAGGUUUAUCCGAGGCACGAUUAUUGCUGAUUGAAAACUUUUCCCAAUACCCCGCCAUGACGACCAUCUCCAUCCAUGUGCCCUUGCAAAUGGCAAGAUUGCAUUCUUUUUGUACAC